GCGGCGUGCCUAUACAUGCAAGUCGAGCGAAUCUGAGGGAGCUUGCUCCCAAAGAUUAGCGGCGGACGGGUGAGUAACACGUGGGUAACCUGCCUGUAAGAUUGGGAUAACUCCGGGAAACCGGAGCUAAUACCGGAUAAUAAUUUGAACCGCAUGGUUCAAAUUUGAAAGAUGGCUUCGGCUAUCACUUACAGAUGGACCCGCGGCGCAUUAGCUAGUUGGUGAGGUAACGGCUCACCAAGGCAACGAUGCGUAGCCGACCUGAGAGGGUGAUCGGCCACACUGGGACUGAGACACGGCCCAGACUCCUACGGGAGGCAGCAGUAGGGAAUCUUCCGCAAUGGACGAAAGUCUGACGGAGCAACGCCGCGUGAACGAUGAAGGCCUUCGGGUCGUAAAGUUCUGUUGUUAGGGAAGAACAAGUGCUAGAGUAACUGCUAGCACCUUGACGGUACCUAACCAGAAAGCCACGGCUAACUACGUGCCAGCAGCCGCGGUAAUACGUAGGUGGCAAGCGUUGUCCGGAAUUAUUGGGCGUAAAGCGCGCGCAGGCGGUUUCUUAAGUCUGAUGUGAAAGCCCACGGCUCAACCGUGGAGGGUCAUUGGAAACUGGGGAACUUGAGUGCAGAAGAAGAGAGU
RNAcentral lists this ribosomal RNA (639 nucleotides) under Bacillus sp. (in: firmicutes). Its description in RNAcentral is "bacterial SSU rRNA". It matches the Rfam family "Bacterial small subunit ribosomal RNA", at positions 39 to 662 of the family's 1533-position model. Lineage: Bacteria; Bacillati; Bacillota; Bacilli; Caryophanales; Bacillaceae. The record is from RNAcentral.